CACGGUAGCUACAGUUAUGGGAGGCCAUGUACUAGUCUAGGAGGAUCGGUGAUUACUUAGAUUCUUGAUCCAGAUAGACCACAGUAAAAUAAAAUAUUAUUUAUUAAAUUUUUAUAUAUACUUGAUAUGUAUAAUAGCACUAAUAAAUUUUUAAACUGUGUAGGUAGAUUACAUGUAGUACGUCAUCGCAUGGUACGGUAAGGACCCAUCCUCUUAGCCCCUCCUUGACCUCGAGGGAUGGCUCAGGGCCAUCGAAGAGGUUACUAGGAGCCAAAUAAUAGGGUUUGGGCAUAGCUUCGAUCCUCUAGCAGCUCGCUGGUCUUCGAUGUUCUCCUUUCAGGCCUCGACAAUCUAGAUGUGGGGUGAUGCACUUGUCGAGAUCAUGCAGAGACUUUUUUGCCAGCGACCUCAGAGCUUCUGGGAUACCGUCUAUGAUACGAUGGUUGAGAUUCUCUGAGAUCCACAUCUGCAUGAUCAACUGAACUCGUUGUCACAGCCAUCACAGUAGAUAAGUCAAGUAGUAUUAAUAAAUUUCUUUACUUGCUUUAGAUUUUUAUAUUUAAAAACUUUACAUAGUUAGGCUUGAGUCGGAGAAAAGAGAUCUAGGGGUUAAAAGUCAAUAUUCCUAUCUGAUGGAUGGGAUGGAGGUAUAGAUACAUCUAUAUCAUCGAAUGAAACAUAUAGGAACAAUCCGUUCGAGAAUCAAAAUAGUAUAUCAAAAUAUAUCCUUCUGUACUGAUUUAGACUUAAGAUGGAAGGGAGGGAUAUCAGAGGGUCAAAAUUCAAUCUAACCAUCUGAUGGAUAGACCGAGGUGUCUAUAGCUUCAUAUCAUCGAAUGAAACGUAUAGGAAUAAUCCGUUCAAGAAUUGAAGGAGUAUAUUGAAAUAUAUCCAUCUAUAUCGGUUUAGGCUUCAAACAAAAGGGAGAGAGUAUCCAGAGGAUCAAAAUUUAACUUAACCAUCUGAUAAAGUACUGGCUGGAGGCGUUUAUAACUCCGUAUCAUCGAUUGAAAUAUGUAAAAAUAAUUCAUUCAAGAAUCAAAACAGUAUAUUAAAAUAUAUCUCUCCGUAUAGGUUUAGAC
RNAcentral lists this long non-coding RNA (1082 nucleotides) under Elaeis guineensis (African oil palm). RNAcentral describes it as "long non-coding RNA (EGUI_LNC077489)". Lineage: Eukaryota; Viridiplantae; Streptophyta; Magnoliopsida; Arecales; Arecaceae. The record is from RNAcentral.